This 30-nucleotide non-coding RNA is filed under the name Mus musculus (house mouse). The record is from RNAcentral. Lineage: Eukaryota; Metazoa; Chordata; Mammalia; Rodentia; Muridae. RNAcentral also lists the same sequence under 22 other names.
GCGACCCCAGGUCAGGCGGGAUUACCCGCU